This 336-nucleotide ribosomal RNA is filed under the name uncultured Pseudomonadota bacterium. RNAcentral's name for it is "bacterial SSU rRNA". It matches the Rfam family "Bacterial small subunit ribosomal RNA", at positions 29 to 351 of the family's 1533-position model. The record is from RNAcentral. Lineage: Bacteria; Pseudomonadati; Pseudomonadota.
AACGAACGCUGGCGGCAUGCCUAAUACAUGCAAGUCGAACGAGAAAGCUCCUUCGGGAGUGAGUAGAGUGGCGCACGGGUGAGUAACACGUAGGUGACCUACCCCUCAGUCGGGGAUAACGGAAAGAAAUUUCCGCUAAUACCGGAUAAGCCUGACGAAAUUGGAAGUAGUCAUGGAAAGAUGGCCUCUGAAUAUGCCAUCACUGAAGGAAGGGCCUGCGCUCCAUUAGCUAGUUGGCAGGGUAACGGCCUACCAAGGCGACGAUGGAUAGCCGGUCUGAGAGGAUGACCGGCCACACUGGAACUGAGACACGGUCCAGACUCCUACGGGUGGCUG